GCUUGCUGGGGGAUUAGUGGCGAACGGGUGAGUAACACGUGAGUAACCUGCCCUUGACUCUGGGAUAAGCCUGGGAAACUGGGUCUAAUACCGGAUAUGACUCCUCAUCGCAUGGUGGGGGGUGGAAAGCUUUUGUGGUUUUGGAUGGACUCGCGGCCUAUCAGCUUGUUGGUGGGGUAAUGGCCUACCAAGGCGACGACGGGUAGCCGGCCUGAGAGGGUGACCGGCCACACUGGGACUGAGACACGGCCCAGACUCCUACGGGAGGCAGCAGUGGGGAAUAUUGCACAAUGGGCGCAAGCCUGAUGCAGCGACGCCGCGUGAGGGAUGACGGCCUUCGGGUUGUAAACCUCUUUCAGUAGGGAAGAAGCGUAAGUGACGGUACCUGCAGAAGAAGCGCCGGCUAACUACGUGCCAGCAGCCGCGGUAAUACGUAGGGCGCAAGCGUUAUCCGGAAUUAUUGGGCGUAAAGAGCUCGUAGGCGGUUUGUCGCGUCUGCUGUGAAAGACCGGGGCUCAACUCCGGUUCUGCAGUGGGUACGGGCAGACUAGAGUGCAGUAGGGGAGACUGGAAUUCCUGGUGUAGCGGUGAAAUGCGCAGAUAUCAGGAGGAACACCGAUGGCGAAGGCAGGUCUCUGGGCUGUAACUGACGCUGAGGAGCGAAAGCAUGGGGAGCGAACAGGAUUAGAUACCCUGGUAGUCCAUGCCGUAAACGUUGGGCACUAGGUGUGGGGGACAUUCCACGUUUUCCGCGCCGUAGCUAACGCAUUAAGUGCCCCGCCUGGGGAGUACGGCCGCAAGGCUAAAACUCAAAGGAAUUGACGGGGGCCCGCACAAGCGGCGGAGCAUGCGGAUUAAUUCGAUGCAACGCGAAGAACCUUACCAAGGCUUGACAUGAACCGGAAAGACCUGGAAACAGGUGCCCCGCUNGCGGUCGGUUUACAGGUGGUGCAUGGUUGUCGUCAGCUCGUGGUCGUGAGAUGUUGGGGUUAAGUCCCCGCAACGAAGCGCAACCCUUCGUUCUAUGGUUGCCAG
This 1035-nucleotide ribosomal RNA is filed under the name Paenarthrobacter nicotinovorans. Its description in RNAcentral is "bacterial SSU rRNA". It matches the Rfam family "Bacterial small subunit ribosomal RNA", at positions 78 to 1121 of the family's 1533-position model. The record is from RNAcentral. Lineage: Bacteria; Bacillati; Actinomycetota; Actinomycetes; Micrococcales; Micrococcaceae.